ACAGUAAUUUCUAAAUGCAGAAAAGCAGUGAAAUGAUAUUUCAAAAGUCCAUACUCAUCCACCAGGUUCCCAGAGAUUUUCAGCUCUCUUGGAGCUGCUAACUGGUAUCUUCAAACACUGCAGGAGCUCUCCCCAGUUCUGGUCUCUAAAGAACAGCACCAGUGCCUCCAGAUGCAUGCAGGCAGAGAUGAUCACC
Oxyura jamaicensis (ruddy duck) is the source of this 196-nucleotide long non-coding RNA. RefSeq lists it as uncharacterized. The record is from RefSeq and is a predicted model, not a curated record. Lineage: Eukaryota; Metazoa; Chordata; Aves; Anseriformes; Anatidae. The transcript is spliced from 3 exons.